GAUUCGACGCACGUGGAGGCCAAUGUGAGGGGAAAAGGCGUCGCGAGCUAAAGAAGUAGCCGGUUUGAGGUGAGUAAUUGAUGUAAAUGAUGUCUUGAGGGUUUGAAACCCCGGAAUUUCACAUCGUAACGCUAUAUUGAGGUGACUUGCACGCCGAUAAUGGGCGUGGGGUAGAGCACCAUUGGGGAUUGUUACUUAGUCCAUCCCGAGAGAUGUUUUUACCUUGUUUUCUGCUUGAACUAAAUUGAAAAUCAUCCUUACUUGGAUUUAAUUGUUACAUUUGGGCUUCCUGCCAAUUAUUUGAAUCCUUCAGGGAUUGACAUCACUGUUUUCGCAUACAUGCAUAUCAUUUGAUCUCAAUCCAAGGUUUUAAAUACUGUUUUGCAAACUCAGCCAUCUUUCUAAGAUUUGAAAACUUAAAUGAUAUUUCUAAAUGAUAUUUCGGGCUGAGAACUACUGUUUUACAAAUGCCCAAAGGGCUUAUUAUAAUUUCUGGACUGAGUAUGGAUCGGGCUGCGCACCGCAGCAGUGAUUUGAAACAAUGGUAACAAUGACGCUGUAUGAUGUGACUUGAAACAGUGGUAACAAUGACACUAUGUGAUAUAAAUUGGUCAGGUAACAAUGACUGACCAGGACUUGAUUGAUGCCACGAGAUGGCUUGUUAUUGCGCUUGGGCUAUAGGAGCCCUUCCGGAGUCUGUACACACCCCCAGUGAGCGUCGUCGACGAUAAAUAAAUAUGGAUGACUCGGGCUGCACGCCGCAGUGGGUACCAGAGGGUACCGUCAUAUGCAUUGCAUUGCACUCAUGCAUUUAUUCCUCAUCUGCAUUAUCCUCCAUAAUAAUUAUGUGCUCUUAUUUCAUUGACUGGUUGCUUCAUACUGUUCUGAGCCUGAGGGGCUGAUACUGUUCUGAGAUACUGAGCUCGAGGGGCUGAUACUGUUCUGAGAUACUGAGCCUGAUGGGCAGACUUCUACUUAUUAUUUUGAUACUGAGCCCGAGAGGCAGAUUUCUACUUGUUAUUUUGAUAUUGAGCCCGAGAGACAGAUUUCUACUCGUCAUUUUACUGCCAAAUUAUCUUUUUUUUUUACUGGUUUAAAAGAAAUUUCACAUAAUGUUUCACUGAAUUGUUAUUUAAAUGAUUUCACUGCUUCUGUAUAGAAUGUUGUGUGCCUUAACGUGUUUUCUUACAUUCAGUUAUUAUUUAUAUUUAUUACUCAUUGGGUCGGAGUACUCACAUUACUCCCUGCACUAUGUGUGCAGGUACAGGUAUUCCUGAGGCAUAGAGCGAGUUUUCUGCUGUUCAGUUUUUAUUGGAGUUAUCGAGGUAGCUGCAUGGCAUUCGCAGACCCAUUUUCUCCCUUAUCUUCUAUAUUUAUGAUAUCUUCAGAUGUCGUUCCUAAUUCCAUACUUUGUAGAAUUUUAGUAAACUCUGUAGUAGCUCAUGACUUGUGACACCCCGGUUAGGGCUGAGUUGGGUUGGAUUUCCGUAUUUUAUAUAUACUUUCCGCUAUUAGAUAUUAUUAAACCAUGUUUAUACUAUAAUUGUGUUAAUU
RNAcentral lists this long non-coding RNA (1554 nucleotides) under Nicotiana tabacum (common tobacco). RNAcentral's name for it is "long non-coding RNA (NTAB_LNC015651)". The record is from RNAcentral. Lineage: Eukaryota; Viridiplantae; Streptophyta; Magnoliopsida; Solanales; Solanaceae.